Molecule: ribosomal RNA, 274 nt
Filed under: uncultured bacterium
Lineage: Bacteria
Description: partial 16S ribosomal RNA
Rfam family: Bacterial small subunit ribosomal RNA
Source: RNAcentral
AUACGGAGGGUGCAAGCGUUAAUCGGAAUUACUGGGCGUAAAGCGCGCGUAGGCGGUUUAGUAAGUCGGAUGUGAAAGCCCAGGGCUCAACCUUGGAAUUGCAUUCGAUACUGCUUAACUAGAGUAUGGUAGAGGGAAGUGGAAUUUCCGGUGUAGCGGUGAAAUGCGUAGAUAUCGGAAGGAACACCAGUGGCGAAGGCGACUUCCUGGGCCAAUACUGACGCUGAGGUGCGAAAGCGUGGGGAGCAAACAGGAUUAGAUACCCCGGUAGUCC